GCAGGCAGUACGGCCUACCAGGAAAUAGCUAGUAUAAGGGAAUGGCAUGCUUGGUAUGUACCUGUGCCGGUUAGUGCUAGCUUGUCGUUUUGCAAUGUUAUUAAGAAACAUAGAUAUGGUUGUUAUAGUGAUUGCUGCGUAUAGAAGAAUCUAUUUUUAGCUACUGCUCAAAAGGUAUAAAUACUUAGCUCUGUAUCAAUAAAAUCGGCUUCUUGCAUCCAAGCAAUCUGCCCCGUCUCUUCCAUUGCCGACCGUCACACGACACUCCCCAGGCCAGGAUCCUCUCCCAGGGCUGGACACAGUCUGAUGCAAAUAGGUGCCAAAGCUCAUUUUCCCUUUCUUUUCCUUGCUAAAUCAGUGUUUGUACUGUGACUUUCACUCCCUGGGCAAUAUGCACCAAAAAUGUGGCCUGAGGAGACCUUCUUUUCCUCUGUCAGUCCUGAAGAGGAAUAUGAGAGACAGCUCCUCCACCUGAAGAACGUUAUGGAAUGCUAUAAAUAUGUUAAUUCUCUAAUUUAUUAAGGUUAAAACUUACUUGACCCAUUUAAAAAAUGUCACUGUUUCCAGGGUAUCAACAAAUAAAAGGAUACCUGAAAGAGACCUACAGAAAAGCUUGGGUGUAUGUCAUGAAUGUCAUGUUAUUUCAUGGCUUUACAUUUAAGCAUCUCAGUUACUGCAUCUCCUUACUCUUAGAAGAUUACCAACUAGAACAGGUUCAAAACUUUGUCUUCUUGAGGAAAAUGGGACAAAUUCUCUAUCUGAUGCAGUUGAGGGCAUGGAAGAUGGAUCUUCUACAUCCAAAACUACUGGCUAUUUAGUAUUAUCUAUUAUUUAAGAUACGUCUCACUUUAUAGUCUACAUUUCCACAUACCACUUUGAAGGCACAAUUUGAUUAUUAUUGGUUGGUUGUUUUCUUGCUUUCAGUUGAGGACAAGCUGCUACAAGGACUCAGGCUUCUGUCCUCAAGCUCAAGGUGUCCAGAGAAGGAUUUGUGCAGGGGGACUUCCUUCUACACCUUAGGUCUAGUCUGGCUGGACACCUUUCCCAUCCUAGGUUGUGUGCAGAGUAACAGGAUGCUUUGCCAUGACUUGCUAAGCCACCUUGGGAGCCAGGCAAGGUGGGUAUUUGCUGCCUGGAAGGCAAAGAGAGUAAGUUUUUCAAAUACUGAAUAGCAAAAUAUUGAACUUCAGAAGAAGAAAGCCCCCCCCCCCCCACUGGAAAUAAAAUAAAAACAUAUAGUCCUUCAGGAAACUAGCCCAUUGCAUAACAAGCAGAUAAGAAUGAAUUGUUCCUUUCAAGUCAGUUUUUAAAAGAGGAAAAUAUUUAGAAAGUAAAUCUUGCAGUCUAGGUAAAAGCAAUUUUGUUUUAUGCAGCUGCCAGUGAAGAGUCCUGGUGCAGUGGUACUUGUAAGUCGUAAUCAAUAAACAUGAAUUAUUUAGAAGACACAAGAUAAAAAUGAAUGAGUAUUAAACCAGAAUUAAUCCACCAUAUAAACACUAAGCAAUAUGUAUGUGUUCCUAGCAAAUUGGUAGUGACAUCCAUUUGGAAUCUCAGUUUACAUGCAUGAAAAAGGUAUAAGUGAAUGUUUCAUCAUCUAAUUGUAAAUAAAUUUUAGCUAAAAUGCAUGAACUAACUGUUAAGGAUCAAGUAUCUUAAAUUAGAAUGUCUACAGUAUAUAAAAGCAGACAUUCUGGCCAGAUGGUGUGAGACUAAGAAGUGACUGCACUUCAAAUAAAUAACCAGAAAUCAUGUGCAAUGGGGUUCACUUGAGCACCACACAUUAAAACAACCUGCAAAGAAGAGAUGAGGCAGUUUAGGAGAAAAGUUUUUGUGUUGGAGGGGCAAUGAAAAAUCUCAUUUAACAUAGAUACUGUGUUAGUCCCACUUUUUGCUUCUUCUGUCUGCAGAAAUGAGGUCUCAACAGAGCUUUUGGAUCCUGAAGAAACAUGAUGAGAGAUAUCAUUCCCAACCCACUGACAGAGAAGGAAGAGGAGUAAUAGUACUCACAUGUAAAUGAAGUGAGGCAAGGCCUGAAAAAUGCUUCAUGACAAGAGGAAAAAUUGAGGAAUUAGGAGUGUCCAAAAGAGUACUUUGUAGUACAAAGACCUGUGGGAUGGGAAGAAAAUAUUAAACAGUUCUAUAUGAUGACCUGAAAUUUUCCCAGUGAAACGAGACAACUUUUUCCCUCAUCUCAGUGGAGACAUGGAGAAGGGCCUUGCUUUCCUGCAGGAGCUCUGAAACCAAAAUCAGCUGGUUUCUCUGUAGUAACACUGUGAUCAUCUCAGUACUACCCAUGAGGCUUGGCUUACAGGAGCACUUUUUGAAACAGACACAGGGACUGAUGCAUAGCAAAGCCUGUGGGUAACACUGUGGCGGGGACAUUUCAUGGACAGAGAUCUGUGGGCUUUGUCUGGCCCACAGCAAUGCAGAGCCAAUUCACCGCUUCCAUGAGGAAUUUUUGUUGGAGCACAAAAUUGCUGUUUUGUCAGCAGCAAAAUGUAUCGGUAACCACUGUGUACUCUUCUCCUCUCUAAAAGCUCUUGAAUAAAACAUCAAUGAUUUUACUAAACAUGCCCCAGGACUCCUCCAGACAUAUCCCUGUGUGGAGCAGGGAAGCAGAGCCUGCACCAGCCUGGGGCUCAUCACAAGGCUCUGCCAAGGCUGCUGGGCAGGAGGAAGAGCCAGUGUAAGAGAUGGAUGCAGGCAGCAGAAUGACUUUCACCUUGCUCUCUGACCUUUUGGGACUGAUGUUUGUUUUCUGUUACUGCCCUUCAGUUGCCCUCUCCAUUGGUUGGCUUGAGGUUAUGGCUACGGAUUAGUUUGUUUAAUACUCUGUUGUUUGCAAAUGACAUCUUUUUUCUUAGUAUUCUGCUCUUUGCUAAGCUCCCCUUUGGAGCUCCUCAGUUUUUUAAUUAUUCACAAAAGCGAACUGAACUCUUUGGAAUUAAUUGUGUUUGGUGGUAUCUUGCAGGAAUGAAAGGGGUUCUGCUUUCUUCUAAGUACAUUUCUUGGUGCUUUCAAGUCUGCACUCAAGUUAGAACACAUGCCAACACCUGGACUUGGUGCUUCCCAGGAAAUAGGCAGUCCCCAGGAAGAAUAUGCCAUCUCACCCUUUUGCUUGGUGUGUACUUUUUUAUGGGUGCUGCUAUAGGAAGAGUAGUAAAGCUUAGUACUUAACAGUUUAUUUCUCAAUAUGUCAUUCACCUUUGGAAAUUAUAAAUCUUCCUUCCAGAGGUGUAUGUUCUGAUGGCAUUGCAUACAAAAUACUGAAAAGGAAACUGUGAUCUGCUCAGUGCUUAAUGACAGCCAAAAUCUGCUGGGGGGAUGAUGAUCACUGCGUGGAGGCCAUGUCUGGUUUUAGUUUUCCCCCUGCCCAUUCAGUUGGGCACUUUAGCAGACAAGCUUGCAGGCUGGUUACUCAAAUGCCUCCUCUGCACCCCGCACAGAAAAGAAGGAUAGACUAGAAUAGAAAAAAAUCUAAUCUUUCUUUCAAACUAAAAGCUACAAAUGAAGCUUGUUGUCUUGAAGGACACUUCUGACAAACACUUGUAUCAGAGGUCCCACGUCAAAGUCUCAGUAAAUAUAUACCUUUUAAAAACCUUUUACAAACAGUACUUUCAUGCUCAUAAACAUCCAGGUUCUCUACUAAAAAUCUUCUCCAUUCACUUUCCUAAGUAAGGACUCAGUCCUGUUGCUUGAAUUUACGAUCUCUGUUCUCUUUCAUUGGUUAUGAUAGGUAAGUGGAUAAAGGUCUUGCUGCAAAAAACCAGAAGUGUCAUUAUAGCAAUGUUUUACAACAUUCUUUAUAGAAGAACUAUAUUGCUGUACCUAGACCAGGUGUUUAAAAAAAAUUCGUAGAGGUGAAGCAGAAAGCCUGGUAUUCUCAGCAGAAAGCACUUGCGUGCUCCCCAGUGUUUGCUAGUUGAAUUAAAAGAAGCACGGUAGAUAUGGCUCUCUAAUUGGGUUCAAAUCACUGAAUGCUGGCAAAGUGGUGCCAAACUCACAGGAAAAGAAAACUGAGUUCUACAACUAAAUACUUACUAAACCCACAUUUGUCACAUCAGAAACAGAUGUAUUUUUGUUGAACACAUUAGAAGCACUGAGUAUUUUUGUUCCUUGUAAUAUUUUUGUUUAUUGUCCUUAAUGUCAUGAGUAAAAGAUUGCUUCUGCCUACUGCUGCUAUGGGACGUGUUUUCCCUACUACUGCAGUAUAAUUAAAAAAAAAAAAAAAUUAGUACUAAGACUUUGUUGACAGUGAUAGCCCCUUAGCUCCUAAAUCUGCUAUCCCAUCCAUCACUAAUCUCAAACAAUGCAAGCAUUAGUUUCUCUGUGACUUAUCUGGGUCCUUAGUAGAUCAAUAGCACAGCUCAGAUGUUUCAGACUCUUCCCUGUUAAUUUGCAUUUAUCUUUUCAUCCAAAGAAGGUAAACUACCUCACAGAGAAGCUGUGUUAUCCCCAAUAGUGGUUUAUAAUGUUGCCAAGUCAGCAUGACCCACAUAUCUCAGCUGGAAUGCAUUUGUCACUGUCUCAUGUUAUGAUUAUCUGGUAAAAUGCCCUAGAAAAGAGGUAAACUUGCAAAAUGGCUUCACCGUUUUCAUUUAAUGACCUUUUCUGCUGUGUGUUCCUCCAUCACCUUCAACUGAAACUGCUAAAU
Molecule: long non-coding RNA, 4654 nt
Organism: Corvus hawaiiensis (hawaiian crow)
Lineage: Eukaryota; Metazoa; Chordata; Aves; Passeriformes; Corvidae
Exons: 3
Source: RefSeq, a predicted model, not a curated record